AAUCAACGCUGGCGGCGUGCCUCAGACAUGCAAGUCGAACGCGAAAGGCCCCUUCGGGGGCCGAGUAGAGUGGCGUCCGGGUGAGUAACACGUGGGUAAUCUACCUUCGGGUGGGGAAUAACGACCGGAAACGGUCGCUAAUACCGCAUAAUGCAGCGGCACCUAAUGGUGACAGUUGUUAAAGCGGGGGAUCGCAAGACCUCGCGCCUGAAGAGGAGCCCGCGGCGGAUUAGCUAGNGGCAGGGUAACGGCCUACCAAGGCGACGAUCCGUAGCCGGCCUGAGAGGGGCGGUCGGCCACACU
This 303-nucleotide ribosomal RNA is filed under the name uncultured bacterium. RNAcentral describes it as "bacterial SSU rRNA". It matches the Rfam family "Bacterial small subunit ribosomal RNA", at positions 32 to 314 of the family's 1533-position model. The record is from RNAcentral.